UACAGAGGUCCCAAGCGUUGUUCGGAUUCACUGGGCGUAAAGGGUGUGUAGGAGGUUUGGUAAGUCGGGUGUGAAAGCCCACCGCUUAACGGUGGAAUGGCAUUCGAUACUACCAGACUAGAGGAUUAGAGGGGCAAGCGGAAUUCAUGGUGUAGCAGUGAAAUGCGUAGAUAUCAUGAGGAACACCAGUGGCGAAAGCGGCUUGCUGGAUAAUUCCUGACUCUGAAACACGAAAGCCAGGGGAGCAAACGGG
This 253-nucleotide ribosomal RNA is filed under the name uncultured bacterium. Its description in RNAcentral is "partial 16S ribosomal RNA". It matches the Rfam family "Bacterial small subunit ribosomal RNA", at positions 524 to 776 of the family's 1533-position model. The record is from RNAcentral.